GGGAGAAUCCUGAAUUCGAAAGGGGUUCUGGAUUCAAGGCCAACGAGAGAAAAGGGACGCCCUCUGGAGAUGGCCCCGGCCGCCCGCAGCGAUUAAUUUCGUUCGCGGUGUCGUUCCCGAGGCGCACUCCAAGAGGCAACGUUCUUCCUGCUCCGGUGGAGUGCAAUUCCCCCCUAGUAGAAACGUCGCGACCCGUUGGGUGCCGGUCAAAGGCCCGGGGUGGAGCCCGCGUGCCCGGUGGGGGUUCCCAUCUGGGCGUGCGGACCCCCGGUUUGCCCGGCCGGCUGCCCGACGGUAUGACCAGAGGAGUCGAUCCGCUAAAACGAGAAUCACUGUGGUUGUGAAGCGUCCGGCCCAUCUGCCGAUGCGCGCCAGAGGUCUCCCGCUAAGAGAGCGGGCUGCGCUGCGUCUUCGGAUUUGGUGUCCUCGGACCGGAUCGGGUCUCCCGUCGGCGACGCCCACCUUCGGAUGGUCUCCCG
This 479-nucleotide ribosomal RNA is filed under the name Micadina sp. 1 SB-2021. RNAcentral's name for it is "partial large subunit ribosomal RNA". The record is from RNAcentral. Lineage: Eukaryota; Metazoa; Arthropoda; Insecta; Phasmatodea; Lonchodidae.